CCUACGGGAGGCAGCAGUAGGGAAUAUUGCUCAAUGGGGGAAACCCUGAAGCAGCAACGCCGCGUGGAGGAUGAAGGUUUUCGGAUUGUAAACUCCUUUUGUUAGAGAAGAUAAUGACGGUAUCUAACGAAUAAGCACCGGCUAACUCCGUGCCAGCAACCGCGGUAAUACGGAGGGUGCAAGCGUUACUCGGAAUUACUGGGCGUAACGGGCGCGUAGGCGGGUUAGCAAGUCAGAUGUGAAAUCCUGUAGCUUAACUAGAGAACUGCAUUUGAAACUGGUACUCUGGAGUGUGGGAGAGGUAGGUGGAAUUCGUGGUGUAGGGGUGAAAUCCGUAGAGAGCAAGAGGAAUACUCAUGGCGAAGGCGACCUGCUGGAACAUUACUGACGCUGAUGCACGAAAGCGUGGGGAGCAAACAGGAUUAGAUACCCUGGUAGUC
This 440-nucleotide ribosomal RNA is filed under the name uncultured bacterium. Its description in RNAcentral is "partial 16S ribosomal RNA". It matches the Rfam family "Bacterial small subunit ribosomal RNA", at positions 338 to 795 of the family's 1533-position model. The record is from RNAcentral.